RNAcentral lists this ribosomal RNA (645 nucleotides) under Triticum aestivum (bread wheat). RNAcentral's name for it is "partial small subunit ribosomal RNA". The record is from RNAcentral. Lineage: Eukaryota; Viridiplantae; Streptophyta; Magnoliopsida; Poales; Poaceae.
AUGAAGGCCUUAUUCUGGAGCAUUAGAGGUUUCGGUGCUAGGGGGCGCAGGGACCAGCUUAAAGACUUGGUGCGGUCUAAAAAUGUGGAUUUUAUUGGCCUUGUCGAGACUAUCAAGUCUUCCUUCUCCUCUAGCGAACUAUCGGCCGUUGCUGGGAUAGAUAGAUUUAAUUGGAACUUUGUGGCCUCAGAUGGUCACUCGGGUGGUAUUCUCCUUGGUACCAAAAAAGAUAUUUUCGAUUUUGUUGCUUUUGACCAUGGCAUCUUUUGGGCUAGCACGGUGGUAUCUCACCGAUCUCUCAACUCUUUACUAGAAAUCAUGAUGGUAUAUGGUCCGGCUGACCACUCUAUGUCUUACGUCUUUUUGGACGAACUUAGUACUAAAAUUGAGUCAUGUCAGGUGCCUCUCCUGAUUGGGGGCGAUUUUAACUUGUUGCGGUUUCCUUCUGAUAAGAGAUCCUCUAAUUUCUCUUGGCCACUGGCUGAUGCUUUCAAUGCUUUCAUUAGGGACACGACUAUUCGUGAAAUUCCUAGGGUUGGAGCCCGGUACACUUGGACUAAUCAUCAAACUUCUCCCAUUCGCUCAGUCCUUGAUAGGGUUUUUGUUUGCCCUAGGUGGGACUCUCUACUCCCCGUGUUAGUCUGA